UCCGCAGGCGGGCAAUUAAGUCAGGGGUGAAAUGGUGCGGCUCAACCGUAGCACUGCCCUUGAUACUGGUUGUCUUGAGUCACAGUGAAGUGGCCGGAAUAUGUAGUGUAGCGGUGAAAUGCAUAGAUAUUACAUAGAACACCGAUUGCGAAGGCAGGUCACUAACUAUCGACUGACGCUGAUGGACGAAAGCGUGGGGAGCGAACAGGAUUAGAUACCCUGGUAGUCC
RNAcentral lists this ribosomal RNA (229 nucleotides) under uncultured bacterium. Its description in RNAcentral is "partial 16S ribosomal RNA". It matches the Rfam family "Bacterial small subunit ribosomal RNA", at positions 568 to 796 of the family's 1533-position model. The record is from RNAcentral.